AUUGAUUAUCAACAGGCCUCAGCAAUGUGUAUAUUUUCCACCGAUCAUAAUAUAUCCUAUUCUACGGGCCUCCUAAUCCUAACUCAAUAGAAUAUUUUUCGCUUCAAAUUUGAAUGUAGAUGGUAAAUAAUUGAAAUUAACUUGACUUUGACGUAUAUUGUCUUCAUUGUUAAUUAACUUCAAUUAUGACAACUAUGGCCGAAGAUUUUACUCAGCUGGCUCACGCAAUUAAGUCUCUGGAGAGAACAAUCAGGCAAAACAAUUUAAUAUUAAAUGGUAAACAACCGUCGAAACGUAUAUCUACUGAAACGGACAGCCGUAAGGCAGUGAAAUUGAAGGCAUUACCUUCCGAGGAUGCAAUAGAAGAUGAUGAGAUUAUUAACAGGGUUUGUCUGCUUCGUCUGUUUAUCAGUUCGCAAAUAAGUAUAUACAGUUCGUAGUAGUUUCGCGUAAAUAUAUUUAAAUAAAAAAAAAAUGUUUAUUCAGAAGUCUUAUUAACUCAGCCUAAAUCAGUUUUGGUGCUAUAUAAUCCUAGGUGUUUCGUAUUAAUAAACCGGUACUAAUCGAUUUUUUUCUUGUCGAAUCGAUCAUUUAAGGUUGAUAUUGUUGUUAUUAGUAAACCAUGGAUAAUCAGACAAAUAAAAAGGUGAGAUAGACGUAAUGAAAGGUUUAUUUAAGCACAGCGAAGCUGAUUACUAUAUACAAGAACAAAGGAAGCUAAGAAAUAUGGAACAAAAUCGAACAGCAAUUUUAUUUUCGUUACAGCUUCCUAGAGGAUAAAACAAUCGAUAAUAUAAUGUAUCCUUUAUUCUCCAGCGGGAGGUCUAUAUUAGGGUAGUUUUCCUCAAAUUGGGCGAAAUCGAUACGCUUAAGGAGAAAUACGCCGCUGACGUUUUCUUUCAAGCUCGCUGGAGAGAGGAAAGGUUCGAUAACAAGGACGAGAUAGUUUGUUAACUUACAAAAGCACAUAAGCAAGCUAUUAAUGCAAGCCUUGUUUUUUAUUAUCGUGUUAGGAAGAAGACGAUAUUGUUUGGGAUGAGUAUUGGUCACCUAAGCUUUCUAUUGAGAAUUUACUUAAUUCUACAUUAAUGGAUGUGUGGAGAUUAGUUGAGAAAGACGAGAAUGGACAUGCGUAUAUAACAGAGAAGCACAGAAUAAACGGAACUUUUGCAGAGUCGCUUGAGUUAAACGAGUUUCCGUUCGAUACUCAGGAUUUAACUAUUAAAGUCAUAACUGAAAGAUCGGAAGCGGAAGUGCAGCUAUGUGCCGAUAAGCAUGAAAUAUCUUCAGUCAAUAAUCAAUCAUUCGUCGACGAACAAGAAUGGAGAUUGCAUAGUGCUGUAAUGACAUGGAAUGUUGUAACGGCUAAAGUUUAUAAGAAUAGAAGACAUAAGCAUCCUGCCUUAUGUUCAGCGUGUAAGGUCACAAGAAGGCCCGAAUUUUUCAUAUGGAAUAUUCUUGUUGUCAUGAUGUUUAUCUGCAGUCUGGCUUUUGCUACAUUUACUGUCGAUUAUAAAUUACCUCAGAAUAGACUGCAAUUAACUUUUAUCUUACUGUUAACAACUGUUACAUUCAAGUUUGUCGUAAACCAAAGUUUGCCAAAAAUAUCCUAUUUGACUUAUUUAGAUAAAUAUAUACUUACGUCAAUGACGAUCCUUAUCUCGAUAUGUGUUUGGCACGCCAUCGUACCGAAACUGGGAUUAGAUGACGAAGAUUCGGAAGAGGCAGAUAAGAUUGCCCUUGGGGUGCUCGGUGCCAUCUAUCUUGUCUUUCAUAUUUUUUUUGGAUUCUGGAUUUCUUGUGCGUCUUUGAAGAAGAGGCUUAAUAUUCUUAAAGAGGAUGCGGAUUACCUCGCUAAAAUCAAUGGUAAAAGCCCCAAGAAAGUUGCCCCAUCUGAUGAACCAAAUCAAGAUCUGGCUUAAUCUUUCAACGGAAAGGAUAAAGAUUCCAAUAAAAAAUACUUCAAUUAUUGACAUUUGUGUUCUCUUUUUCCAUUUUUUAUAUUAAAUAUCUUGACGAUUAUAUUGUAUUUCUUAUUUCAAAGGGAAAAAUUGCCUUGAUUGUUAUUUUAAUAAUUACAAGUCGAUAUUCAAAUUUUAUCAUCAAUUGUGUAUUAUUAGUCUUACUUCGUUUCGUUUGUUUGAUGGCAAAAUAAAAGCUUGAAAGAUUC
Molecule: unclassified non-coding RNA, 2170 nt
Filed under: Dimorphilus gyrociliatus
Lineage: Eukaryota; Metazoa; Annelida; Polychaeta; Dinophilidae
Description: neur_chan_LBD domain-containing protein
Source: RNAcentral